GGUUAAGCGACUAAGCGUACACGGUGGAUGCCCUGGCAGUCAGAGGCGAUGAAGGACGUGCUAAUCUGCGAAAAGCGUCGGUAAGGUGAUAUGAACCGUUAUAGCCGGCGAUGUCCGAAUGGGGAAACCCAGUGCAAUUCGUUGCACUAUCGUUUGAUGAAUACAUAGUCAAACGAGGCGAACCGGGGGAACUGAAACAUCUAAGUACCCCGAGGAAAAGAAAUCAACCGAGAUUCCCCCAGUAGCGGCGAGCGAACGGGGAGCAGCCCGGAGUCUGAAUCAGCUUGUGUGUUAGUGGAAGCGUCUGGAAAGUCGCAGGGUACAGGGUGAUACUCCCGUACACUAAAACACACAGGCUGUGAACUCGAAGAGUAGGGCGGGACACGUGGUAUCCUGUCUGAAUAUGGGGGGACCAUCCUCCAAGGCUAAAUACUCCUGACUGACCGAUAGUGAACCAGUACCGUGAGGGAAAGGCGAAAAGAACCCCGGCGAGGGGAGUGAAAAAGAACCUGAAACCGUGUACGUACAAGCAGUAGGAGCCUCUUUAUGGGGUGACUGCGUACCUUUUGUAUAAUGGGUCAGCGACUUAUAUUCUGUAGCAAGGUUAACCGUAUAGGGGAGCCGCAGGGAAACCGAGUCUUAACUGGGCGUUAAGUUGCAGGGUAUAGACCCGAAACCCGGUGAUCUAGCCAUGGGCAGGUUGAAGGUUGGGUAACACUAACUGGAGGACCGAACCGACUAAUGUUGAAAAAUUAGCGGAUGACUUGUGGCUGGGGGUGAAAGGCCAAUCAAACCGGGAGAUAGCUGGUUCUCCCCGAAAGCUAUUUAGGUAGCGCCUCGUGAAUUCAUCUUCGGGGGUAGAGCACUGUUUCGGCUAGGGGGUCAUCCCGACUUACCAACCCGAUGCAAACUACGAAUACCGAAGAAUGUUAUCACGGGAGACACACGGCGGGUGCUAACGUCCGUCGUGAAGAGGGAAACAACCCAGACCGCCAGCUAAGGUCCCAAAGUCAUGGUUAAGUGGGAAACGAUGUGGGAAGGCCCAGACAGCCAGGAUGUUGGCUUAGAAGCAGCCAUCAUUUAAAGAAAGCGUAAUAGCUCACUGGUCGAGUCGGCCUGCGCGGAAGAUGUAACGGGGCUAAACCAUGCACCGAAGCUGCGGCAGCGACACUAUGUGUUGUUGGGUAGGGGAGCGUUCUGUAAGCCGUUGAAGGUGGCCUGUGAGGGUUGCUGGAGGUAUCAGAAGUGCGAAUGCUGACAUAAGUAACGAUAAUGCGGGUGAAAAACCCGCACGCCGGAAGACCAAGGGUUCCUGUCCAACGUUAAUCGGGGCAGGGUGAGUCGACCCCUAAGGCGAGGCCGAAAGGCGUAGUCGAUGGGAAACAGGUUAAUAUUCCUGUACUCGGUGUUACUGCGAAGGGGGGACGGAGAAGGCUAUGUUGGCCGGGCGACGGUUGUCCCGGUUUAAGCAUGUAGGCGGAUGUUCCAGGUAAAUCCGGAACGUUACUAACGCUGAGGUGUGAUGACGAGGCACUACGGUGCUGAAGUGACAAAUGCCCUGCUUCCAGGAAAAGCCUCUAAGCAUCAGGUAACAUCAAAUCGUACCCCAAACCGACACAGGUGGUCAGGUAGAGAAUACCAAGGCGCUUGAGAGAACUCGGGUGAAGGAACUAGGCAAAAUGGUGCCGUAACUUCGGGAGAAGGCACGCUGAUAUGUAGGUGAAGUGGUUUACCCAUGGAGCUGAAAUCAGUCGAAGAUACCAGCUGGCUGCAACUGUUUAUUAAAAACACAGCACUGUGCAAACACGAAAGUGGACGUAUACGGUGUGACGCCUGCCCGGUGCCGGAAGGUUAAUUGAUGGGGUUAUCCGUAAGGAGAAGCUCUUGAUCGAAGCCCCGGUAAACGGCGGCCGUAACUAUAACGGUCCUAAGGUAGCGAAAUUCCUUGUCGGGUAAGUUCCGACCUGCACGAAUGGCGUAAUGAUGGCCAGGCUGUCUCCACCCGAGACUCAGUGAAAUUGAACUCGCUGUGAAGAUGCAGUGUACCCGCGGCAAGACGGAAAGACCCCGUGAACCUUUACUAUAGCUUGACACUGAACACUGGUCCUUGAUGUGUAGGAUAGGUGGGAGGCUUUGAAGUGUGGACGCCAGUCUGCGUGGAGCCAUCCUUGAAAUACCACCCUUUAAUGGCUGGUGUUCUAACGUGGGCCCCUAAUCGGGGUUGCGGACAGUGUCUGGUGGGUAGUUUGACUGGGGCGGUCUCCUCCUAAAGAGUAACGGAGGAGCACGAAGGUCAGCUAAUCCUGGUCGGACAUCAGGAGGUUAGUGCAAUGGCAUAAGCUGGCUUGACUGCGAGCGUGACGGCGCGAGCAGGUGCGAAAGCAGGUCAUAGUGAUCCGGUGGUUCUGAAUGGAAGGGCCAUCGCUCAACGGAUAAAAGGUACUCCGGGGAUAACAGGCUGAUACCGCCCAAGAGUUCAUAUCGACGGCGGUGUUUGGCACCUCGAUGUCGGCUCAUCACAUCCUGGGGCUGAAGUAGGUCCCAAGGGUAUGGCUGUUCGCCAUUUAAAGUGGUACGCGAGCUGGGUUUAGAACGUCGUGAGACAGUUCGGUCCCUAUCUGCCGUGGGCGCUGGAGAAUUGAGGGGGGCUGCUCCUAGUACGAGAGGACCGGAGUGGACGCAUCACUGGUGUUCGGGUUGUCAUGCCAAUGGCAUUGCCCGGUAGCUAAAUGCGGAAGAGAUAAGUGCUGAAAGCAUCUAAGCACGAAACUUGCCCCGAGAUGAGUUCUCCCUGACUCCUUGAGAGUCCUGAAGGAACGUUGAAGACGACGACGUUGAUAGGCCGGGUGUGUAAGCGCAGCGAUGCGUUGAGCUAACCGGUACUAAUGAACCGUGAGGCUUAACCUU
This 2907-nucleotide ribosomal RNA is filed under the name Klebsiella grimontii. Its description in RNAcentral is "23S ribosomal RNA". It matches the Rfam family "Bacterial large subunit ribosomal RNA". Lineage: Bacteria; Pseudomonadati; Pseudomonadota; Gammaproteobacteria; Enterobacterales; Enterobacteriaceae. The record is from RNAcentral.